UGCCAGGUAGCCUAAUGGUAGGGCAAGAGGCUCUGAACCUCUGGACUGAGGGUUCGAGUCCCUCCCUGGCAACCA
RNAcentral lists this transfer RNA (75 nucleotides) under Candidatus Jacksonbacteria bacterium. RNAcentral describes it as "tRNA-Gln". It matches the Rfam family "tRNA". From Rfam's summary of the family: Transfer RNA (tRNA) molecules are approximately 80 nucleotides in length. The record is from RNAcentral. Lineage: Bacteria; Candidatus Jacksoniibacteriota.